UGGGGAAUAUUGGACAAUGGGCGAAAGCCUGAUCCAGCCAUGCCGCGUGUGUGAAGAAGGUCUUCGGAUUGUAAAGCACUUUAAGUUGGGAGGAAGGGCAUUAACCUAAUACGUUAGUGUUUUGACGUUACCGACAGAAUAAGCACCGGCUAACUCUGUGCCAGCAGCCGCGGUAAUACAGAGGGUGCAAGCGUUAAUCGGAAUUACUGGGCGUAAAGCGCGCGUAGGUGGUUUGUUAAGUUGGAUGUGAAAUCCCCGGGCUCAACCUGGGAACUGCAUUCAAAACUGACUGACUAGAGUAUGGUAGAGGGUGGUGGAAUUUCCUGUGUAGCGGUGAAAUGCGUAGAUAUAGGAAGGAACA
Molecule: ribosomal RNA, 361 nt
Filed under: uncultured bacterium
Lineage: Bacteria
Description: partial 16S ribosomal RNA
Rfam family: Bacterial small subunit ribosomal RNA
Source: RNAcentral